AGUUAAUGAACUUGUAUAAGUAUUUAUUUUGAAAAUAAAAAAAAGAGUAUACCCUCUAUUAACUU
RNAcentral lists this transfer RNA (65 nucleotides) under Scolytinae sp. BMNH 1043001. Its description in RNAcentral is "tRNA-Ser". The record is from RNAcentral. Lineage: Eukaryota; Metazoa; Arthropoda; Insecta; Coleoptera; Curculionidae.